Molecule: long non-coding RNA, 544 nt
Filed under: Bos grunniens (domestic yak)
Lineage: Eukaryota; Metazoa; Chordata; Mammalia; Artiodactyla; Bovidae
Description: lncRNA (ENSBGRG00000004740.1)
Source: RNAcentral
CUUGAGGGACACAUCCCAGAAGAAGGAGCACAAGGGCAGGGUGACAUUAGGUAUUUAUGGUGCAGUGAUUGGCUACUGUGAAUUUAGUGACUGGCAUAUGAUAUGGAGGCCAAACCGGGCUCAAGAGUGACUGAAAACAAACCCGGAGGGAAGGACACUGCAGAAGGUUAUGCAAGAGAAGAGAGCCAACGGUGGACUCUACGCCAUAGUCAGUGCCCCUUCUGCUGUCACUCAACUCCAGUGUAUGAAUCAGGAGACUGAGAUCACGGUCCCUUGGCCAGCACAUGGGGGAGCUGAAAGGUGUGGUUUUCUCCGAUGCUCUAUUGCUCUGACAGCUUCUUUUGGUCACCACUUGGGAAGGAGCUUCCUAGGGCAAAGCAGCAAAGAAACAGGAGCUGCUAGGGGACAGUCAGCCUUCUCACCAACCAUCACUUGGAACACAUGUACACGUGGUGGAUGCACGUGCCCUCUCCCAAGGCAUGGAACUUUAUCUGGAAAACACUCUCUCUGUUUCCCCUCAAGAAUCUUUCAUAUUCUUUUCUGA